CACAAAAAAUCAAGUGAGGACCAACCAAAAAACAACUGAAAAGCCUGGGAUCCAUAGGUGUCCCAGGAGUAAAGACAUGAAAAGGAAGAAUUAAGGAAGAGGGAGUUGGCAAGGCCAGGUCAUUGAAUAGCUGUCGUGAGAUGGAUAUUUCUAGACAUUUUUUGGAGAGAGUACUUAGGAAGAGUAACACUCGGAUUAUAAAAACAAAGGGAAGGAAAAGAAGAAAAGAUCACCAUUAAAGGCAGAGAAGAGAAGAAA
Long non-coding RNA from Trichosurus vulpecula (common brushtail), 258 nucleotides. RefSeq lists it as uncharacterized. The transcript has 3 exons. NCBI's taxonomy places the organism in Eukaryota, Metazoa, Chordata, Mammalia, Diprotodontia, Phalangeridae. The record is from RefSeq and is a predicted model, not a curated record.